GCCUGCUGGCACAUUAGAGGUCUUUCCAUCUCAAGCAGCCAACACUAUGAAAUACUGUCCAUGAAGAAAAUGAGACCUAGAGAAGUCAAGGACCUCGCCUAAGAUCCCUUGCCUGUAAGGAUGAAGCUGGGAUUCAAAUUCAGACAGCCUGGGUCCCAGAGCCAGCAUGCUUCCAAC
This 177-nucleotide long non-coding RNA is filed under the name Saimiri boliviensis boliviensis (Bolivian squirrel monkey). RNAcentral describes it as "lncRNA (ENSSBOG00000036488.1)". The record is from RNAcentral. Lineage: Eukaryota; Metazoa; Chordata; Mammalia; Primates; Cebidae.